UUGGAGGGCAAGUCUGGUGCCAGCAGCCGCGGUAAUUCCAGCUCCAAUAGCGUAUAUUAAAGUUGUUGCAGUUAAAAAGCUCGUAGUUGGAUUUCGGGAUUAGUACGUCGGUCGUGCCUUAGGUACGUACUGGUGUUACUGGUUCCUACCUUCUGACGAACCAUCAUGUCAUUAAUUUGGUGUGGUGGGGAAUCAGGACUGUUACUUUGAAAAAAUUAGAGUGUUUAAAGCAGGCUCGCGCUUGAAUACAUUAGCAUGGAAUAAUGAAAUAGGACGUUGAUCCUAUUUUGUUGGUUUCUAGGAUUGACGUAAUGAUUAAUAGGGAUAGUUGGGGGCAUUAGUAUUCAAUUGUCAGAGGUGAAAUUCUUGGAUUUAUUGAAGACUAACUACUGCGAAAGCAUUUGCCAAGGAUGUUUUCAUUAAUCAAGAACGAAAGUUAGGGGAUCGAAGACGAUCAGAUACCGUCGUAGUCUUAACCAUAAACUAUGCCGACUAGGGAUCGGAUGAUGUUAUUUUUAAUGACUCAUUCGGCGCCUUACGGGAAAC
This 546-nucleotide ribosomal RNA is filed under the name uncultured Glomus. RNAcentral's name for it is "SSU rRNA". It matches the Rfam family "Eukaryotic small subunit ribosomal RNA", at positions 548 to 1098 of the family's 1831-position model. Lineage: Eukaryota; Fungi; Glomeromycota; Glomeromycetes; Glomerales; Glomeraceae. The record is from RNAcentral.